UGAAGCUCAGUGUUGUAUACGCAGAAAGUUUGUAAGCAAACCAGAAAUACCGAAUCUGAAAGACGUGUAGCGAACGCAAAGAUAUGGCAGCAUCAAAGACCACUCACGAGCGUCGCAUCGUUAAAAUUAAAGGGGAUUAUAGUUCAACAUGGCGACGACAGGACACCAACCUGUAAAGCCUUGACCACAGAAGAGAAUUUAAACGAAAUCAUAGAAAUUCUCCUUGAUUUUGAAAAACAUACAAGACCUGUAGAUACCAUUUCAGCAAGGUGCAUCUUGGAACCGAUUGUCCAGAUCAGUUUCGGAAUUAAGCCGUGGCACCUUAGCAAUGAAAAUAUCCUAAGCUAGAACUAACGAAGGAGCAAGCUAAAAUCUUUGGGUCUAAUAGUACCAACUGGUAUGGCAAAUGGGAGAGACCUCCACCCUGUCACGAGUUGUGGAUAUGAAUGUACAAAUCUGUGAAUAUUGGAUUUGAUACUCAGAACUGUUCCUGUUAGAAAGGUGCACAUGAAUUUGGUCUUUGUUUUUGUUAUUCUUUUUUACAUAAAAUAUUUUAUUUUCGAUCUAUGUUGGAGUGGAUCGAGGCUGAUGCAUACUUUCUUGUCAUAAUGCAAGAGAAAUAGGGUAAAGUUGCUGAAGCUGCAGACAUUCUCCAAGAACUUCCGUUCAAGACCAUUGAUUCUAUGGAAAAGCUAGAAAAUUGAACAGGUGGAGCUUAUCUUGAAACAAAUGAGAUUGUUUCUUCUGCAUCUGCACUCAGAUCAGGUUGAAAAAGAUAAGUGUCAGAUUUGUUUUUAGAGAAAGAUGUGCUCAGUCUUAAAUUGAAAUAUUUUCAUGUAGGAAUAGUUUAACAUUGUUACAUCUGUCAUAUUAAGCGUGGGAAGGGGGAGAGGAAAUGUUGGUGGAUUAUUCAUCGUUGUGUAGAUUCCUGAUGUUGACAAGAACAGGUAUUAUGUCUCUACAUUUGUUAACAUAAUCAAGCCAUGUACAACACAACAGUGAUCCUGGAGAAAGAGUUUCUGCAAUUGUUGGUUGUUGUCGAGGUGAUGUUUCGGUGACACGCUGUCAAUAGUACCAACUAGUAUGGCGAAGGGAGAGACAUUCCUCCCGACAAAGAUAUCGUUAACAUAGGUCGGUGCAGUAAAUCACAUCUAUAAUAGAGCAAAACGUACAAGUAACUUCUUUUUGCAUAAGUUAAUGAGGAUGGCGAGAAGAGGUGGAAUGUUACCGAAUACGUCUUGUUGUGUAUAAUGUCCGAAACAUGGGUAAACGCUACAGUCUUGCGACGAUCAAUGGAUGGCUGCCCACUUUGACUAUUUUGUCGACGAAACAGAAGAAUUUCAAUCCAAUUUAAUGUGCAUAAGGACUGACCUGCUCAGUAAAAAACAACAAUUACCGACACGAAUGAGAUAUAUUGCCAUGAAUUUGAAGAAAUGGUUAGUGAAGGAGAGAUGAGCUAACACCAAUAGUCUAUAAGGUUGAGCGUUGGGAAAAGUUAAAGGCUAGGCAAUGAAGUAUGUUUUAAAAAACGCGGCUUGAUAAUUCAAUAAGGAAUUAUAAUGUUGUAGGUCUGGGGAAAAGUAUACUGAUUUAGUUUUCUUAUUUAGAUUUAUGUGAUAGGUUGUAUUCAUAUACCUUUAUAUAUUCUUUUCCGAUUGGGUUUACCUAAUACACCAGCCCACGGGAAAUAUAUGAUACUACGCGGAAUAAAACUAUAUGUAAAAAAACAAAGCAAUAAUAAGCUUUUCCUAAUAAGCCGCAAUUUAGAAAGUGGAGAUAGGAUUUUGGGUUAUUAAAAAUGGGCUUAUUUUAACCAUAAAAUUCGUCAUAAAGAUAUAUUGU
Molecule: long non-coding RNA, 1842 nt
Organism: Daphnia carinata
Lineage: Eukaryota; Metazoa; Arthropoda; Branchiopoda; Diplostraca; Daphniidae
Exons: 4
Source: RefSeq, a predicted model, not a curated record